GAGAUACUAGUAACUCCUGAGGCUCUCCCCAGCAGCAACAGGUUUCAGGUGUCAGCGGCAACGCUGCCAGUGUCUCACCCCAGGACGUACAACAAAACGCUGGUCAAUCUGUAGCAUCUCUUUUCUGCUGCUGCAAACAACAAGGCCUUAACAGCUGAAACCCUCCCACUCUGUAACCCCUGCUGGCAGCUGCCCCACCCCAGGGGGCAGCUGUGGGCAUGCCAAGGACCCAAGGCCCAGCUCUGGUAGGGCCCAGCUGUGUCACCUCCACUCAGACUGCUGGAAGAAAGCUGUGAGAAAGUCCACAGAGAGAUGAGAGAGGUACAAAUCACGAGGAGGGGCAGGAUUGAUGGGAGACGGGCUCGGAAGCAGCCCAAGGAGCCAGGAGGGAAGGCGGUGACACAGCGAGGGUCUCGGCGCUCAGCUGUGGGUGCCCAAACUAGAAGAGGAACCCUAAUACACCUCUGACAGAGACCAACCCGUGCUGCAGAUGAGGCUGUCGCUGGCUAGCUCACGCAGAGAAAAGAGAGAAUGAGAAGAGAGAAUGAAAAAACUGGGCCAGGCUCAGAUCAGCAAGAGGUUAAUCAAGUUUCCCAACCGUCAGCCUAGCUGGGUGCCCCUGUGCCACACACGUCCAAAAGACGCUUUUGUAAUUCACUGGUAGCUGAAAAUAAUUGUUAGUCUAAAUACGCCUCCUCAACAACGCUCCCAAAAAAACGUAGGCAUGAAGAUGGUAGUGGCUCUUACCCACAUG
Long non-coding RNA from Gymnogyps californianus (California condor), 754 nucleotides. RefSeq lists it as uncharacterized. The transcript is spliced from 3 exons. NCBI's taxonomy places the organism in Eukaryota, Metazoa, Chordata, Aves, Accipitriformes, Cathartidae. The record is from RefSeq and is a predicted model, not a curated record.